UGGGGGAUAUUGCACAAUGGGCGAAAGCCUGAUGCAGCGACGCCGCGUGGGGGAUGAAGGCCUUCGGGUUGUAAACUUCUUUUGCUCUGAACAAGGCGCACCAUGGGGUGUGUUGAGUGUAGGGGUUGAUUAGCGCCGGCUAACUACGUGCCAGCAGCCGCGGUAAUACGUAGGGCGCGAGCGUUGUCCGGAAUUAUUGGGCGUAAAGGGCUUGGAGGUGGCUGGUUGCGUCUGUCGUGAAAGCUCAUGGCUUAACUGUGGGUUUGCGGUGGGUACGGGCUGGCUUGAGUGCAGUAGGGGAGGCUGGAAUUCCUGGUGUAGCGGUGGAAUGCGCAGAUAUCAGGAGGAAUACCGGUGGCGAAGGCGGGUCUCUGGGCUGUUACUGACACUGAGGAGCGAAAGCAUGGGGAGCGAACAGG
This 419-nucleotide ribosomal RNA is filed under the name bacterium. Its description in RNAcentral is "partial 16S ribosomal RNA". It matches the Rfam family "Bacterial small subunit ribosomal RNA", at positions 355 to 776 of the family's 1533-position model. The record is from RNAcentral.